UCAAAGGUAGCUUAAUUUAAAGUUUAGGAUUCUUACUCCUGAGAUGUUGUUUUUGUGUGACUCUUUGAG
This 69-nucleotide transfer RNA is filed under the name Diplostomum ardeae. RNAcentral describes it as "tRNA-Lys". It matches the Rfam family "tRNA". Rfam says of the family: Transfer RNA (tRNA) molecules are approximately 80 nucleotides in length. The record is from RNAcentral. Lineage: Eukaryota; Metazoa; Platyhelminthes; Trematoda; Diplostomida; Diplostomidae.